RNAcentral lists this ribosomal RNA (301 nucleotides) under uncultured bacterium. RNAcentral describes it as "partial 16S ribosomal RNA". It matches the Rfam family "Bacterial small subunit ribosomal RNA", at positions 509 to 807 of the family's 1533-position model. The record is from RNAcentral.
CAGUAGCCGCGGUAAUACGAAGGGUGCAAGCGUUAAUCGGAAUUACUGGGCGUAAAGCGUGCGUAGGUGGUUCGCCAAGUUGGAUGUGAAAUCCCCGGGCUCAACCUGGGAACUGCAUCCAAAACUGGCGAGCUAGAGUAUGGUAGAGGGUGGUGGAAUUUCCUGUGUAGCGGUGAAAUGCGUAGAUAUAGGAAGGAACAUCAGUGGCGAAGGCGACCACCUGGACUGAUACUGACACUGAGGUGCGAAAGCGUGGGGAGCAAACAGGAUUAGAUACCCCAGUAGUCCCUGUCUCUUAUAC